Molecule: small RNA, 44 nt
Filed under: Arabidopsis thaliana (thale cress)
Lineage: Eukaryota; Viridiplantae; Streptophyta; Magnoliopsida; Brassicales; Brassicaceae
Description: ATSL252880
Source: RNAcentral
UGGUGAAUGUUCUUCAACCCGUUUUGCCGACACUUUGCCCAUAG